GGAGGAAACGGUCCUAUGGAUUGUAAAACCUCUUUUGCAGGGGAGCAAGGAGCGGUACGUGUGCCGCUUUGGAGAGUACCCUGAGAAAAAGCAUCGGCUAACUCCGUGCC
RNAcentral lists this ribosomal RNA (110 nucleotides) under uncultured bacterium. RNAcentral's name for it is "partial 16S ribosomal RNA". The record is from RNAcentral.